This 3245-nucleotide long non-coding RNA is filed under the name Triticum aestivum (bread wheat). RNAcentral's name for it is "long non-coding RNA (TAES_LNC012144)". Lineage: Eukaryota; Viridiplantae; Streptophyta; Magnoliopsida; Poales; Poaceae. The record is from RNAcentral.
AGGGAAUUGAUUUGAUUCUGAAUCUUCCGUUCUUCAGGUACUUAUUUCACACUCUCUCUGAUUGGUCAAUGUGCUAUGCAAAGUUGUUAUAUAUAAAUUUGCUUUUAUACAUGUCUGCAUCAUAAUUAAUGUUAUUCCCUUCUGAAUUAGCAAGAUUUAGACGAUAUAAACAGUAAUAGUAGUUGUCUUUUCAUUUGUUAGAAAACAUAGUGUACAGAAUCGUAGCUGUAUGCAAUGAUUCAUCAUGUAUUUUUUUUAAAUCGCAACCCGUAAUUGUUUGAUGUCGUUAAAUGUCUAUAUUGUUUUGUUUACAUUCUUAAGCUGGCCUCCAUACUAUCUGCAUUGUCCUGGUAGCCUUGGUAGGUUAUAAUACGCAGAUCGAUAAUCCCGGUUCAGUUUGAGCUUUCCAUGUAAUUUUUUACUCAAAUAUUACGAUCACGACUUAACUUAAAUUAGCAGUAUAGUGUCAAUGGGCAUCAACUGAAGCUAAUAAGAUGUUGUUUACUAAAGAACAGCCCCUUGCUACUUGCACAGUAUGUGGCAAAACACCCUAAAUAUUAAAGAAAUCAUACUUGACUGUGAUUACAUUUGGUUGACGCUUACAUGUAUUUCCCAUCAGUAGACCAAGUGGGUAAUCUUCUAUCUCAAGUCCAAGCUUUCAAUGCAUUUUUCUCUUUUUUUCAUGUCUCAGUGAUGAUCUGCAGGGCCGAAUUAUGCCACUGUUGAUGGUGCACAGGUCUGUUGCAUGGUAAACCCAGUAUUGGCCGUCCUUUCAAGCUCCUUUGUUCAUCCUAGAGAAAAAACUGGAAAAACUAUCUUUUAAUCUUUCUAUAGUGCAUUGCUAUGAUUACAUAUAUGGAUACAUCAUUUCGAUGUGUCUAGAGACCUAAAGCCUUUUAAGAGUUAACUGCCAAACUGGGGAGUGAUGUCAUAAUUGGAGAUGGGCUUCGUUCAGUUAUUCUUUUUGGGCCUAGAACGAUGAUGUUUGCAGAUGGGCUUUAUUCUGUCAUAAGAGCUUAUCGAUCCAGCAUGCAUAGUUUUGUUUCUUCAGUGUUCUGUGUCUGAGAAAAACAUAUGUUGUUUCCUAUUUGUUUAUGGUCGAGAUGGACGGAUUUUUGUUGUGUGGGCUGGAGGUGGAUUUCUGUUGUGUGGGCUGAAGGUUCUUGAGGUAGGGCACCAGCACCAGCUAAGCUUUCAUUCUGGUGAAAUGUAUGACAUGAUUGAUGAGCAUGCAUAUCUAUAUGGUUUUGUGGACACUGAUUUGGUUCCAUGCCAGUUUAUUUCCUGCAGUUGGUGUGUUUCUUUAUAGAGAUUUUUGUCACUAAAUUAAAUUAGAAACUGAGUGUGUACUGCUUUCACCUUCAGUUUAAACAUGACAUUAUCUUAUUUGUGAAUAGAUGGAAAUUAGCAAGCAAGCUACAGUUAGUGCAUGGAUGACCAAGUUUACUUAUUACUUUAUGAAGAUGAUUCUUAAAUGGAAUUAGGAGCUAGGUCCUGCAUGUUGAUUGUGCUUCAAGGUACAGUUGUCUGUACCUUAUAAAAUUAAAGCUUUUUAUUGGUUGUGCAUCCCAGGACAAAAAUCUUGAUUCAUAGAUAGCCAAAGAAUUGAUUACUCUCUGUCGUUGUAGGGAAGAGGAUGGGAGGAGGGGAUGCGUUGCUCCACAUUUUGUUAUGCACACCUUCAUAAACUAUACUCCCUCUGUAAACUAAUACUCCCUCCGUUUCUUUUUACUCCGCGUAUAAGUUUUGGUCAAAGUCAAACUACAUAAAGUUUGACCAAAUUUAUAUUAAAAAAUAUGAACAUCUACAAUACUUAAACUGUAUAAUAUGAAAAUACAUUUCAUGGUCUGUCUGAAACUGUUGGUUUCAUAUUGUGAAUGUUGAUAUUUUUUAAUAUAAAGUUAGUCAAACUAUGCAAAGAUUGACUUUGACCAAAUCUUAUAUGCAGACUAAAAAGAAACGGAGGGAGUAUAAGAGCAUUUAGAUCACUAAAGUAGUGAUCUAAACGCUCUUAUAUUAGUUUACAGAGGGAGUACUUCUCUUAACAUAUGUUCAUUAUCCAGCAGAAGCUGUAGAUUUCAGAGUACAAUAAUUUCCUGUUUAUACAUGGGAGCAGAGCGGAGGAGGUCGAUGCAGGGUCGAGGAGGGGCACGAGCGAGGGUCAUGCCGCACGGGGGCGCGAUGGGGUGGCCGGGGAGCGUGCAGCGUCUAGCAAGAGAAGGCAGAAACCUGAGAAAAUAAGAUUAGGGAAGUCACACAUGUUUAAAUCAAGGUAGCAUACAUGUAGCCUUACUUGCUAUUUUUGCAUCAUGGAUGCUGAAGUUCCUAGAGGUAAAGCAGAAACCUGAUGUAUAGCAGUGCAAAUGUGCUGUCUGAUAGGCUUUAAAAAUUUCUUAAAGACGAAUGGUUGGACUGAUUUUUUCAAAACAUAAUAAGCACUUGUUUUCUACAGUUGGUAGCAUAUAUAUAGCUUAAGGAGAUUUCAUGUAAUAUACAUCUAAGUUGAAACUUCGGGAUCAUCUUAUAGCCGUUCACUUCUCUCUUUUUUAUUUUGUCUCAUUCCUUCAUUUAAGCAUAAGUUCAGUUUCAUUUGCUCAAGUUAGCUGCCAGUUGAACUUAUAGUUUCUUGCCUUAUAGUGUUUAUUGCAUAAUCCUUUUUUUUCUUCUCUUUUGAAAGCAAGGACCAGGCCACGAACAUAUGUUUAUAAUGCAGUUCUUUCACUGCGUACUGCAUAGUAUCUUAGCUAGGUCUCUCUGGGCAAGUGUAGUUUGCCUGCAGGUAUGACAUGUGUUUGAAUAUAAUCCUUUUCUUGCUUCUCUUUUCAAAGCAAGGACCAGGCUGGCAGGCUGGGAACAUAUUAUAAUGAAAUUCUUUCAUUGUAGACUGCAUAGUAUCUUAGCUAGGUCUCUCCAGCAUGCUACCAAAAAAGGAAUGCUAUUGCUUAUGUUCUCUGAUCAACUGUACCUUGAAUCCUCAAUUUUGUAAUUCUCUAAAGAAUCAUCCAGCACAAACUCUGUUCUUUGAAGAAUUGUACCUGGAUAUUCUGAAGCUUGUGCACUGAUAUUUGUUGUUCAUUUUGCGCUGGAGCUGUGCAACUCUCCUUUAGUUUUUUGAGGUGUCAACAAACUGAAAAUAGUUGCUUCUCACUUCGGAUCGUGUCAUGACUCGUGAGCUCAGAGACAUUAAGCACUGUUAGUUAGAUGUUCCAGUUUAUGUGUAGAGGAAGCUACACGGUGGCUCACGA